Molecule: transfer RNA, 65 nt
Filed under: Ophiopholis mirabilis
Lineage: Eukaryota; Metazoa; Echinodermata; Ophiuroidea; Amphilepidida; Ophiactidae
Description: tRNA-Gly
Source: RNAcentral
UUUUCGCUAGUAUAGAGUUGUAUUCUUAACUUCCAAUUAAGAGGCCUAGCAAUAAGUUAGGCGAA